RNAcentral lists this ribosomal RNA (364 nucleotides) under uncultured bacterium. RNAcentral's name for it is "bacterial SSU rRNA". It matches the Rfam family "Bacterial small subunit ribosomal RNA", at positions 572 to 933 of the family's 1533-position model. The record is from RNAcentral.
CAGGUGGUUCUUUAAGUCUGAUGUGAAAGCCCCCGGCUCAACCGGGGAGGGUCAUUGGAAACUGGGGAACUUGAGUGCAGAAGAGGAUAGUGGAAUUCCAAGUGUAGCGGUGAAAUGCGUAGAGAUUUGGAGGAACACCAGUGGCGAAGGCGACUGCCUGGUCUGUAACUGACACUGAGGCGCGAAAGCGUGGGGAGCAAACAGGAUUAGAUACCCUGGUAGUCCACGCCGUAAACGAUGAGUGCUAAGUGUUGGGGGGGUUUCCCNCCCCUCAGUGCUGCAGCUANCGCAUUAAGCACUCCGCCUGGGGGAGUACGGUCNCCAGACUGAAACUCAAGGAAUUGACGGGGNCCCCACANGCGGU